GGAAGAAUAAGCACCGGCUAACUACGUGCCAGCAGCCGCGGUAAUACGUAGGGUGCGAGCGUUAAUCGGAAUUACUGGGCGUAAAGCGUGCGCAGGCGGUUUGCUAAGACCGAUGUGAAAUCCCCGGGCUCAACCUGGGAACUGCAUUGGUGACUGGCAGGCUAGAGUAUGGCAGAGGGGGGUAGAAUUCCACGUGUAGCAGUGAAAUGCGUAGAGAUGUGGAGGAAUACCGAUGGCGAAGGCAGCCCCCUGGGCCAAUACUGACGCUCAUGCACGAAAGCGUGGGGAGCAAACAGGAUUAGAUACCCUGGUAGUCCACGCCCUAAACGAUGUCAACUAGUUGUUGGGGAUUCAUUUCCUUAGUAACGUAGCUAACGCGUGAAGUUGACCGCCUGGGGAGUACGGUCGCAAGAUUAAAACUCAAAGGAAUUGACGGGGACCCCC
RNAcentral lists this ribosomal RNA (444 nucleotides) under Burkholderia sp. Its description in RNAcentral is "bacterial SSU rRNA". It matches the Rfam family "Bacterial small subunit ribosomal RNA", at positions 480 to 924 of the family's 1533-position model. The record is from RNAcentral. Lineage: Bacteria; Pseudomonadati; Pseudomonadota; Betaproteobacteria; Burkholderiales; Burkholderiaceae.